AGAGUUUGAUCAUGGCUCAGAUUGAACGCUGGCGGCAGGCUUAACACAUGCAAGUCGAGCGGAUGAAGGUAGCUUGCUACUGGAUUCAGCGGCGGACGGGUGAGUAAUGCUUAGGAAUCUGCCUAUUAGUGGGGGACAACGUUCCGAAAGGAGCGCUAAUACCGCAUACGUCCUACGGGAGAAAGCAGGGGACCUUUGGGCCUUGCGCUAAUAGAUGAGCCUAAGUCGGAUUAGCUAGUUGGUAGGGUAAAGGCCUACCAAGGCGACGAUCUGUAGCGGGUCUGAGAGGAUGAUCCGCCACACUGGGACUGAGACACGGCCCAGACUCCUACGGGAGGCAGCAGUGGGGAAUAUUGGACAAUGGGGGGAACCCUGAUCCAGCCAUGCCGCGUGUGUGAAGAAGGCCUUUUGGUUGUAAAGCACUUUAAGCGAGGAGGAGGCUACCUAGAUUAAUACUUUAGGAUAGUGGACGUUACUCGCAGAAUAAGCACCGGCUAACUCUGUGCCAGCAGCCGCGGUAAUACAGAGGGUGCGAGCGUUAAUCGGAUUUACUGGGCGUAAAGCGUGCGUAGGCGGCCAAUUAAGUCAAAUGUGAAAUCCCCGAGCUUAACUUGGGAAUUGCAUUCGAUACUGGUUGGCUAGAGUAUGGGAGAGGAUGGUAGAAUUCCAGGUGUAGCGGUGAAAUGCGUAGAGAUCUGGAGGAAUACCGAUGGCGAAGGCAGCCAUCUGGCCUAAUACUGACGCUGAGGUACGAAAGCAUGGGGAGCAAACAGGAUUAGAUACCCUGGUAGUCCAUGCCGUAAACGAUGUCUACUAGCCGUUGGGGCCCUUGAGGCUUUAGUGGCGCAGCUAACGCGAUAAGUAGACCGCCUGGGGAGUACGGUCGCAAGACUAAAACUCAAAUGAAUUGACGGGGGCCCGCACAA
This 926-nucleotide ribosomal RNA is filed under the name Acinetobacter sp. 869535. RNAcentral describes it as "bacterial SSU rRNA". It matches the Rfam family "Bacterial small subunit ribosomal RNA", at positions 8 to 928 of the family's 1533-position model. Lineage: Bacteria; Pseudomonadati; Pseudomonadota; Gammaproteobacteria; Moraxellales; Moraxellaceae. The record is from RNAcentral.